Molecule: unclassified non-coding RNA, 377 nt
Filed under: Hevea brasiliensis (rubber tree)
Lineage: Eukaryota; Viridiplantae; Streptophyta; Magnoliopsida; Malpighiales; Euphorbiaceae
Source: RNAcentral
GUUGGCAAGAAGGUGUAUCCGUAUUGCCCGAUCACCAUUGCUGAUCAUAAUUUUGCUGCUUUCCAUCCAUUCAGACAGCUGAAGGGCAAGAUCAAACCUAUCGGUUCUACGGAGAUUGUUGAUACAGCCAACAAUGUCUAUCUUUUGUAUGGAUUCCCCUUCGUUAUCCAAUUUGUUUAAAGCAUCUUUAAUGUUGGAUUCAGAGUCUGCUCUAUUGAUAAGGUCCGACAAUUUCCGGCGACCGUCGCUUAUUCGUUUUCUUUGGCUGAUGGCCGGCGUUGAUAUGGUCUCCACCGCCGCCGUUUCUGUUGAGAAACAUCGGCGAUAAGUCGUUGAUCGGAGAAGCUUCAAACAGAUAGCUCUGCCCACCAUUUCUU